Long non-coding RNA from Amphimedon queenslandica, 238 nucleotides. RefSeq lists it as uncharacterized. NCBI's taxonomy places the organism in Eukaryota, Metazoa, Porifera, Demospongiae, Haplosclerida, Niphatidae. The record is from RefSeq and is a predicted model, not a curated record. The transcript is spliced from 4 exons.
ACUUGGAAAGAGAUUUAAAAGCUCUUUGAUCAGUGGUGCUUUCACACUGGAUGAGGUGCCAGUUUCCAGCUGAACAGGUUUCAUAUCGUCUUAGUCUUAGCAAUUGAAUACAUAAUCAUGAUCCAAGGCUAUAAUUCUUUUUGAUUAUUAAUAUUGAUUAUCUGAUUAACUAUGGCCAUGGAAGAUUGAAGCUCAAGUAUUGAAUUGUUUUGCGUUCUUGAACAAAUACUAAUUUUAA